GUACAUGUGCUACCCAAGAGUAUUUUGUAUUGGAAAAUUAAAUUGUCGCUUUUAAAAUUAAAAUGUUGCUUAAACUUUCGCUGAACUAACACGCUUUAUAUUAUAUAUAUAUAUAUAUAUAGAAGUGUCAUAUUAAAACUAUUCUACAGUGCAACAAAAGAAAUAAAUUAAGGUUUUUUUUUUAUACUAUAACUUUAUACAAUCGCAGAUGCUUAUAAACACAACAGUCAACAUAAAUGUAACUUACAUAAUAAUUAUACUUUAUCAAACUGGUAAAUGAUUUAAGUUUAAUUUGUGUAAUAAAAAUAUAAAUAAAUUAAAUCUACAUUUUGAAAAUAAUUAUAUAAGUUAGUUAGUUAUAAUAUAGCUACUUCAUAAGUAUUGCGCACUAUUUUACAAUUUGACUGAUAAUAUAAAUUGUUGAAUGUGAUUCUUUAUCUUGUACAGUUUGUAAAUAUUGUAUAUUGUAAGUAUUGUUGUAAUUUACUAGCUUGUGAUACAUAUUAUAUUCGGUUGCAAUUAAAAUACGUUGAUGUAAUUACAAAUCCAUCCAUAGUUUUUUUUUUUUUACAGAAACUACAAUUAUAUUGUUAGGUGCAAAACUGUCCAAAACAUAUAUGAACUGUAUAAAAAGUAGGAAGUAUAUUAAACUUUAUUUUUAGGCAACUUUGGGAAAACAUGAUAUUAUCCUUCUAACAUUUAUCCAAAAGUCGUGUUUUUUUUACUUAUACUAAAUGUUGCACAAUAUGCAACGCGUACAUACAAUUAAAUACCAUAUUGACUGAUGAUGAUAUGAAUUAUAACGGUUUAACAUAUCUUUAAUUUUAUUUAAGUAUUUAUUAACUAUGUCAGUUUCUUUGAUCAUCGAGUCUCUGAGAAUUCAAUGUGAAACUGAAAUGUGACGAUAUCUUGGAGACUUGGAGAUAGUUUUGCACCUAGUUGUGUAAUUUUUUGUUUCAUCUUCUUUGCCAUGGUUAUUCAUCUUUUUCAAAUUAAUAUAAUGGCUACCAUUACUUAAAAACCUAAGUCAUAAAGAGCCA
Molecule: unclassified non-coding RNA, 1040 nt
Filed under: Melitaea cinxia (Glanville fritillary)
Lineage: Eukaryota; Metazoa; Arthropoda; Insecta; Lepidoptera; Nymphalidae
Description: misc RNA ENSMCXG00005021523.1
Source: RNAcentral